CUGCAGCCCGACUUGAACGGAGCUCUUUUUCUGAAAAAAGGUGUGGGAAAAGCCCGGGAGAUUUUUCAGAAAAAAGCGGGAGUGGAAGGCGGAUUAAGC
RNAcentral lists this unclassified non-coding RNA (99 nucleotides) under Chryseobacterium piscicola. Its description in RNAcentral is "Flavo-1 RNA". Lineage: Bacteria; Pseudomonadati; Bacteroidota; Flavobacteriia; Flavobacteriales; Weeksellaceae. The record is from RNAcentral.